Molecule: unclassified non-coding RNA, 265 nt
Filed under: uncultured bacterium
Lineage: Bacteria
Description: partial contains 16S ribosomal RNA and 16S-23S ribosomal RNA intergenic spacer region
Rfam family: Bacterial small subunit ribosomal RNA
Source: RNAcentral
CGUAGCAAUACGGAGCGGCAGACGGGAGAGUAACACGUGGGAACGUACCCUUUGGUUCGGAACAACCCUGGGAAACUUGGGCUAAUACCGAAUAAGCCCUUACGGGGAAAGAUUUAUCGCCGAAGGAUCGGCCCGCGUCUGAUUAGCUAGUUGGUGGGGUAACGGCCCACCAAGGCGACGAUCAGUAGCUGGUCUGAGAGGAUGAUCAGCCUCACUGGGACUGAGGCACGGCCCAGACUCCUACGGGAAUCUGCAGAGAAAACUC